Long non-coding RNA from Meleagris gallopavo (turkey), 578 nucleotides. RefSeq lists it as uncharacterized. The record is from RefSeq and is a predicted model, not a curated record. Lineage: Eukaryota; Metazoa; Chordata; Aves; Galliformes; Phasianidae.
CUGGGGCUGUGUUUCAUCUCCACGUUGUGCCGCUGACUCAGUGCCUCUCAGCUGACCUGGAUAUGGAGAAAAAGCAGCGACUCUUGAGCACAGACAGCUCCAGCUCCCUCUCGCUCCAUUUCAGCGAAGGCACUCGCCCUCAAGUUGCCCAUGGUGGUUGUUGUGCUGAGAGCAAGCUGCUUCCACAAUCGACCUGAAGAAACCCCUUAAAAGUGCACGCCUGCCCCGUCUUGUGACCGAUAUGCUUCAUCAUCUCCUUUUGUACUUUGUUCAGAGGUUGUUUGCAUCAUGACAGACCUUUCACACACGCUGCCGCCCUCAGAUCUCAGAUGGUUUCUUUGCAUGCACCAUAAUCGGGCACUGAUGCUCCCUUUGUCGAGCUCCUCUGAAUGCUCAGCAGCAGCACACAGCCUACCACACCCUGCAGGGCUGCAGCCAGCAAGAAACGGAAAGUGAAAUGUCCUGAGUCUGCUGCAUGCAGCUGUGCCUUCUGCUCAGUGCGCCGCUUGGAUUCCAAAGUGCCGCUGCUGCCAAUCCGUAUCUUUGUCAGAACUGAAAUAAAGGCAACCCUAACAAGU